RNAcentral lists this transfer RNA (77 nucleotides) under Microvirga sp. RNAcentral describes it as "tRNA-Arg". It matches the Rfam family "tRNA". From Rfam's summary of the family: Transfer RNA (tRNA) molecules are approximately 80 nucleotides in length. RNAcentral also lists the same sequence under 10 other names. The record is from RNAcentral. Lineage: Bacteria; Pseudomonadati; Pseudomonadota; Alphaproteobacteria; Hyphomicrobiales; Methylobacteriaceae.
GCACCCGUAGCUCAGUUGGAUAGAGCGUUGCCCUCCGAAGGCAGAGGUCACAGGUUCGAAUCCUGUCGGGUGCGCCA